RNAcentral lists this ribosomal RNA (563 nucleotides) under uncultured bacterium. Its description in RNAcentral is "bacterial SSU rRNA". It matches the Rfam family "Bacterial small subunit ribosomal RNA", at positions 338 to 916 of the family's 1533-position model. The record is from RNAcentral.
CCUACGGGAGGCAGCAGCAGGGAAUCUUGGGCAAUGGGCGCAAGCCUGACCCAGCGACGUCGCGUGGGGGGCGAAGGCCUUCGGGUUGUAAACCCCUUUUCCGAGGGAAGAUACAGGACGGUACCUCGGGAAUAAGCCCCGGCUAACUACGUGCCAGCAGCCGCGGUAAUACGUAGGGGGCAAGCGUUACCCGGAAUCACUGGGCGUAAAGUGCGCGUAGGCGGUUGGAUAAGUCUCUUGUGAAAGCUCCCGGCUCAACUGGGAGAGGUCAAGGGAUACUAUUCGACUAGAGGACAGCAGAGGUAAGCAGAAUUCCCGGUGUAGCGGUGGAAUGCGUAGAUAUCGGGAGGAACACCAGUGGCGAAAGCGGCUUACUGGGCUGUAACUGACGCUGAGGCGCGAGAGCGUGGGGAGCAAACUGGAUUAGAUACCCAGGUAGUCCACGCCCUAAACGAUGGAUACUAGGUAUGGGGGGUAUUGACCCCCUCCGUGCCGUAGCUAACGCGCUAAGUAUCCCGCCUGGGGACUACGGCCGCAAGGCUAAAACUCAAAGGAAUUGACGG